GGAAAUAAUCAGUAGCAGCUAGUAGGCCGGCGAUGACGACCGCCGAGCGCCACCCGAACGGGAAGGGGAGUGUCCUUCGGUCGGAGUCGCGACAGAUUUGGAGUGGAGGUUAUUUUGUGGAGGUUAUUUUGUGGAGAACAGGACUCAGUCAAGGAUAUCCAACCGAACAUCAGUCAUGCAUGGGGAACAGCCAGCGAGGAGAAUGAGCUCGAUCAUCCGUGCAGAUCCCGAGGGGGGUCGGUGGCGAGGAGGAGCUCGUGGUAAGACUUCCGCCCCACAGCUAAUCCAAGAUAGAGGUACUAUCAUGGACGCCAGCCGCAACAGCUUGCUUACAAACGGAUUUCAUAGACACGGUACAGUUGGAUCCAACAUGCAGUACCCCCAGCAGGCAGAGAGGCAAGAACCAUUUGUCCGCCAGCUUAGGGACAAGCUACUCUAUUCAUAGUCCUGUGUAAUGUCUAAUGAAUUGCAUUGCUGGACUUUUUGAAACCUAAUGUAUUUGUAUUGUUUAAAAAAAAUACAAAUAAAAUGACAUUCAUGGUUUAAA
Oncorhynchus tshawytscha (Chinook salmon) is the source of this 547-nucleotide long non-coding RNA. The record is from Ensembl. NCBI's taxonomy places the organism in Eukaryota, Metazoa, Chordata, Actinopteri, Salmoniformes, Salmonidae.